Molecule: ribosomal RNA, 484 nt
Filed under: uncultured bacterium
Lineage: Bacteria
Description: partial 16S ribosomal RNA
Rfam family: Bacterial small subunit ribosomal RNA
Source: RNAcentral
AUUGAACGCUGGCGGCAGGCCUAACACAUGCAAGUCGGGCGGAUGAAGGGAGCUUGCUCCUGGAUUCAGCGGCGGACGGGUGAGUAAUGCCUAGGAAUCUGCCUGGUAGUGGGGGAUAACGUCCGGAAACGGGCGCUAAUACCGCAUACGUCCUGAGGCAGAAAGUGGGGGAUCUUCGGACCUCACGCUAUCAGAUGAGCCUAGGUCGGAUUAGCUAGUUGGUGGGGUAAAGGCCUACCAAGGCGACGAUCCGUAACUGGUCUGAGAGGAUGAUCAGUCACACUGGAACCGAGACACGGUCCAGACUCCUACGGGAGGCAGCAGUGGGGAAUAUUGGACCCUGGGCGAAAGCCUGAUCCAGCCAUGCCGCGUGUGUGAAGAAGGUCUUCGGAUUGUAAAGCACUUUACGUCGGGAGGAAGGGCAGUAAGUUAAUACCUUGCUGUUUUGACGUUACCAACAGAAUAAGCACCGGCUAACUUCGUG